Long non-coding RNA from Oncorhynchus keta (chum salmon), 3355 nucleotides. RefSeq lists it as uncharacterized. The record is from RefSeq and is a predicted model, not a curated record. Lineage: Eukaryota; Metazoa; Chordata; Actinopteri; Salmoniformes; Salmonidae. The transcript is spliced from 2 exons.
UUGAUCAGUGUGAAUGUACUCACAAUUUAUUAGUAAUAAGCAUUCUUUGAAACUCUUUUACUUUUCUAAACCUAGACACAUCAGGGUUGUAUUCAUAAGGCAGAAAAUGGUAAAAAAUUGACUGAAACAGGGAGGGAUUGCCUGAACUUGUCCAAUAGAAAUUCCCUUACUGAGAAAGCAGGCUUCUGGCAAAUAGUUGUGGCAAAUCUUUGGCCAAAUUGCCACAUUUGUGGCCAGCUCAUAUUUUAAAAUUAAAUUAAAUUUGCAGCGACUUGUGAAAUUCUGGAAAACAAUUACUGGGAAAGUUGUGGCGAACAUUAUGUUUGCUGCAAAUUUGCUUCAAACUGAUUAUGAAAAUGCAAAUUGAAACAGGUUUUUGAUUACUUUGUGUAUUAACAACAUUGAAAUGUAUAUGCGAUUUGGUUUGUGUCGAUACAUUUAAAGGAACUUCCUUCUCCCAGAGAACUAAACAUACUAAACGUACUACAGGUCCUUCAGAAAGUAUUCCCACCCCUUUACUUUUUACACAUGUUGUUGUUACAAAGUGGGAUUCAAUUUGAUUUAAUAUUUUAUUUUCAUUUUUUUUUUUUCAAUCUACACAAAAUACUUUAAUGUCAAAGUGGAAGAAAGUCACAUUUAUAAAAAAAAAACAUGACGUAAAACCCUAAUACUGCUUAUCUUGAUUAGAUAAGUAUUCAACCCCCUGAGUCCAUACAUGCUAGAAUUACCUUCAGCAGCGAUUACAGCUGUGAGUCUUUCUGGGUAAACUAGCCAGUCAGUGGUGCUGACAGAUUGAAACUGAUCUAGCUAGCAACAAAAUGUGUUUCACACUAUCCCAUAAAACAUGACAUGCUUACCGGCCAUCAAUUAGCUUACACAAUUAGGACGUUUUAAGUUAAAACACUCACUUGACAACUUCGGUAGCUAGUUAGCAUUUUCCACCCGGUUUGAGCUCAAUGUGUUUACCAGUAGGGAUGAAACGGUUACCGGUUUCACGAUAAACCACUGUAAAAAUUGACGGUUAGUAUUACCGUUUCAAAUUUGAAUUAUCAUUAAAACCGUGUUUGAUUACCACCGUUUGAAAAACUCAUAUGGUAAAUACUGUCCAGCAUCAACCAAAGUUAGCAACAGUCUGGCGCAGCAUGCAGCGUGGGUUUUGUUUUGUGUGAAAACAUGCCGGAAGGCAGUGACAGCGCUCGGGAGAUUUUUCAGCCUUCUAAGAGGACCAAAUCUGAAGUAUGGUCGUAUUUUGGGUUUUACAAGAGUGCUGAGGGAAACCUAAUCGAAGAUGGUCACCCUGUCUGCAGAACAUGCAGCAAAAAGAAAUAGCUGCGAAAGGGGGCAACACUUCAAAUCUCUUGAGUCAUCUUCGUGAUCACCACCCGCUACUUUAUAGCGAAUGCAAGAGUGGAUGUGCAGCAGGCAAACCCAGCGAUGCUACUGGUCCCUCAUCUACAGUUGUGAACUUGUGACACAGACACUGAGCAAGCGUUUAAAAGGCAGGCUGCUUAUGCACCCACGUCAAAAAAUGCUCAGGACCUCACUGCAGCCCUUUUCAUAUUACAUUGCAAAGGUCAUGAUGCCAUUUCAAAUUGUUGAGAGGCCUGGCUUUCUGAGGCUGAUUAAGGUUGCCGUGCCUCGCUACAAAGUGCCAUCACAAACAUUUUCCAAGACUGAAAUCCCAAACCUGUACAACCAGGUUAAAGCUGAUGUUGGAAAAAGACCUCUGGACCAGUGAAAGCAGGAGUGGUUCAACCCUACAUCAGCUUCACUAUCCAUUACUUCACCCCAGACUGGCAACUGGAAUCAAACUGCCUGGAAACACAGUUCUUCCCAGAAGAUCACUCGGCUCACAACAGAGUUUUUGAGAAUAUGCCGGGAGAGUGGGGGGUCAACAAGAAAGACCUGGCCUGCAUAACCACAGUCAACGCAUCAAACAUGAUCAAGACUUUUGAAGAGUUCCCAGAUCUGUGGCUUGGGUGCUUUGAACCUGGCCACCUCAAAGGCUCUGAAAAUUCAGAGCGUUGACACAGCAGCCAAGGCCUGCCGUCAUCUGGUCCAAGGCUUCUCACGGAGCUGGAAGAGAAGGAGAGAACUGAGAGAAAAGCAAGCUGCCCUCAACAUGCCACAGAAGGCUCUGAUCCAUGAUGUGGUGACCCGAUGGGGGAUCUACACACAAGAUGCGUGAGCGUUUCCUCAGCCAACAGCCAGUCUGUGUGACACUGGCUAGAGAACGAGGAACACGGAAUCUGAUGCCCAAGGAUGCCGACAUAAGUGUCAUGGACCAUCUGUGCCAGCUGCUUAAACCUCUGAGAAAGUUUUUAUAGAUGCACUUGCCUCAGCGACACGAGUGACACUGUCAGCCAUCAAACCUGUCCUGGACCACGUCACCUGUGAUGUUCUGGUGGAAAAGGAUACGGAGCCAUCCCUGACCAAGGAGAUGAAAAGGGAGAGAGAAGACCUUAACAACAGACACACAGAGAAGGCAAAGAGUCAUGCACAUGGCUUGUUUCAUUGACCCCAACUUCAAUAGGAGCUUUUUAGAUUAUCCUAAGGCAGCAGAGUGGGGAAGAGGGUCAGAUUCUGACCACCCCAGAAGACAGAGUGAAAGAAUAGAUCAAGGUCUACCUGUCUCUGCCACCCAUUCCGGCAGAAGAGGAUCCACUGGUGUGGUGGAGGGGCCAUGCAUCAGAGCUGCCUCACCUUGCCAGGGUUGCCAGGAAGCUUUUCUGCAUCUCAGCAACCAACGUGCCAUCAGUGUUCAGUGCCAGCGGGCACAUUGUCUCCCCUCGCAGAUCACUACUUAAACCGGACCAAGUAAAUAUGCUGACAUUUUUACAUUUCAAUCUCAAGUAAGCAAAGGAUGUCCAGGAUGUUAGGCCAGCAGCACCUUAUUUCGUUAUGAAGGAGAGAACGGACAAUCAAUCACUAUUGUUCAUUUGAUUUGUUUAUAUAUUUAGUGUUAUUUUGAUGUCAACACAUGCACAUUAGAUUUGUUUACAUAUGGUUGUAUUGUUCUUACAUGCACGUUGGAUUUGUUUACAUAUGGUUGUAUUGUUCUUAAAUGCACGUUGGAUUUGUUUACAUAUGGUUGUAUUGUUCUUAAAUGCACGUUGGAUUUGUUUACAUAUGGUUGUAUUGUUCUUAAAUGCACGUUGCUUUACUUGUGUUGCUUUUAUAUGCACAUUUGAUUUACUUAAGGUUGUGUUCAUUUAAACCUGCACUGGGGAAACUUGUACCUCUCAUGGCCACAUGGUGCCAUAUUUAAUGCUAUUAUUUUAAUGUUUAUGCACUCAAAGUGCAUAGUCCUGCUAAUUUUGUUUGUUAGUUUUCAAUAUAAAACUUGGUGAACUGA